Non-coding RNA from Parasteatoda tepidariorum (common house spider), 1098 nucleotides. Lineage: Eukaryota; Metazoa; Arthropoda; Arachnida; Araneae; Theridiidae. The record is from RefSeq and is a predicted model, not a curated record.
CAGACUCUCAUAUCAGUUUUUGUUUUCGUUAGCAUAUUGUAAACGCAGACGAUUUUUAUCCUUAAUGAAAUAAUUCACGUGGCAGGUGCUAUUUCUAUUUUAUUAGCAUUUGUACUUUCAUUGUAAAUUCUCAGUUUGCAAGUUGUUACCGCCAUUUUUUCCAUUUUACAUAAGUCAGUAAAAUCUUUUAGAAUAUUAUGCCCAUACAACUGCAGUGCUAAAAUUUUACCAUAUUCGAAACGGUAAACUCCACUUUUCUGCUGCAGUAUUCAAACAAGAUAUUGACAUAAAAGACAUGAUAAUUCGGAAAUUUGAGUUCAGAAGAACAAAGAUUGAGGGUCCAGGACUCAGGAAUAUCCAGAGAAACAACCUUAAUACGAUGCCGCAACACAGAUUUCAUGUCAAGGAAUUAUUAUCUCAAUUUUCCUUUGCACAAUAUCUUGGAUUAAUUGAAAGAACUUUUUAAGUUUACACAACACGGAGACAUACAGGACAGAAUCCAAUUAUUUAGAAUAACUUACUGGGAGAUCUAGGAAUCCAAGAAAAUGUUGAUUCAAGAGGAUGUGACCAACAAGGAGUAUCAAUUGAGGGUCCCGGCAAUCGUUCUUCUAAAAUUCUGUCCACUGAGAAUUGUUUUGGAAUAUGUGUUUUUCUAGUAUCUGCUAAUAAAUAGUCCACAGAAAAAGAUAUACACGAUUUCGACUCUUCCAUAUCCACGCUACAACUUAGCUGCAUAUUCCUUGGAUUUGAACACACAUUUUUUCCAUGAAAAAUAUUUGCCGAACUGUUUGGAAUCUUUCUUCACGGUGUUUUCUUUGAGGGCGGUAGAAAGUUCUCUUAUUGGAUGGGAGUGUUGACGCCUUCGUUGUGGGAGGAGCACGUCAAUGGAGCAAUCAAAAAGGGGGAAUGCAUGUCACUCUUAAUUAAGAUAUCGUUCCAAAGGAACCGGUGAUUAUUUCUAAGAGUGGCAGGUGAACUGACACCUUACCACUCAUUACGAUUUUCGUUUCGAACCCUAUGUAAUUAGUUGUUUCUCCCAAACAAUAAUAGAAUAUUAUUGUAAUUUUUUUCGAGCCUAAUUAAAAACGACUAAUUAUA